Molecule: non-coding RNA, 72 nt
Organism: Danionella cerebrum
Lineage: Eukaryota; Metazoa; Chordata; Actinopteri; Cypriniformes; Danionidae
Source: the annotation of a GenBank genome assembly
GGCUUGUUGGUCAAGGGGUAAGAUACUCGUUUAGGGUGCAAGAGGUACCAGGUUCAAAUCCCUAAUGAGCCC